GACGUAGGGCGCGAGCGUUGUCCGGAUUUAUUGGGCGUAAAGAGCUCGUAGGCGGUGUGUCACGUCGGCCGUGAAAACCUGCAGCUUAACUGUGGGCGUGCGGUCGAUACGGGCAUCACUGGAGUUCGGCAGGGGAGACUGGAAUUCCUGGUGUAGCGGUGAAAUGCGCAGAUAUCAGGAGGAACACCAGUGGCGAAGGCGGCUCACUGGACCGGUACUGACGCUGAGGCGCGAAAGCGUGGGGAGCAAACAGG
Molecule: ribosomal RNA, 254 nt
Filed under: uncultured bacterium
Lineage: Bacteria
Description: partial 16S ribosomal RNA
Rfam family: Bacterial small subunit ribosomal RNA
Source: RNAcentral